GCGGCCUCCUGUCCUCUUUUAACUCCUCUGCUUUCUUUGUCUGUGUGGUCCGACCACCCCUCUUCCCAGCUUGGGAUCGCGGAGGGCCCUGCACUAGGGCACCUAGCAGGGACUGGGACAUCCCCGUCUGUGGGCCGGUGGUGGGACCCACCUGUCUCUACAGGCCUUGCUCCCUGAGAAACCGUCACCAGAUACACCGUCGCCAGGACUUCCUGGGGCACCCGCGCUGUUCUGGAAAACUAGAAAAGUUUUCUUUUUGGUCACUCACCACUGGUCCCAUGGCUGCCAUGCAGAUGGAUCCUGAGCUUGCCAAGCACCUCUUCUUUGAAGGGGCCACUGUGGUCAUCCUGAAUAUGCCCAAGGGGACAGAGUUUGGCAUUGACUACAACUCCUGGGAGGUGGGGCCCAAGUUCCGGGGUGUGAAGAUGAUCCCUCCAGGCAUCCACUUCCUCCACUACAGCUCUGUGGACAAGGCCAAUCCCAGGGAGGUGGGCCCCCGUAUGGGCUUCUUCCUUAGCCUACAGCAGCGGGGGCUGAAGGUCCUGCGCUGGGAUGCAGUCCAGGAAGAGGUAGACCUGUCCCCAGCCCCAGAGGCUGUGGUGGAGGCCAUGAGGGCCAACCUCCAGGAGCUGGACCAGUUCCUGGGACCUUACCCAUAUGCCACACUCAAGAAGUGGAUCUCACUAACCAACUUCAUCAGCGAGGCCACAGUGGAGAAGCUCCAGCCCGAGAGUCGGCAGAUCUGUGCCUUCUCAGAUGUGCUGCCUGUGCUCUCCAUGAAGUACACCAAGGACCGGGUGGAGCAGAAUCUACCCCGCUGCGGCACUGAGUGCAAAAGCUACCAGGAAGGCCUGGCCCGGCUGCCCGAGAUGAAGCCCAGACCCGGCACAGAGAUCCGGUUCUCCGAGCUGCCCACACAGAUGUUUCCGGCAGGUGCCACGCCGGCCGAGAUAACCAGGCACAGCAUGGACCUGAGCUAUGCUCUGGAGACCGUGCUCAGCAAGCAGUUCCCCCAAAGUCCCCAGGACGUGCUAGGUGAACUCCAGUUUGCCUUUGUAUGCUUCCUGCUGGGGAACGUGUACGAGGCAUUCGAGCACUGGAAGCAGCUCCUGAACCUUCUGUGCCGGUCAGAAGAGGCCAUGGUGAAGCACCACACCCUUUACGUCAACCUCAUCUCCAUCCUCUACCACCAGCUUGGUGAGAUCCCCGCCGACUUCUUUGUGGACAUUGUCUCCCAGGACAACUUCCUCACCAGCACCCUACAGGUGAGGGCGGAAGACCAAGUGAGGCAAUGUAAAUGGUCGACAUCCCACAGUAACUCAGCGAAAGAGCGGCUGGGACUAGAUCUGAGGUCCUUCUGAGCCACAGCCAUCAGGCAGAAGAAUUGGAGAGAGCUGUUGGGUGCCUCCAGUGGACCAGUGUCUGGGAGCUGUCCACCUCGUCUGCUGCUGGACCCCAAGGGUCGGCAUCACCUGGAAACUUGUUAGAAAUGUAGACUCCUCAGCCCUGCCCUAGACCUGCCGAAUCAGAACCUGCCUUUGAACAAGAUCCCUGGGGGAUUCCUAUGAACACUAAAGUUCGAGAAGCAUUGGCCCAGGCUACGUGUGCAGGGUUCUCUUGGGCACACGUAUCCAGGAGUGGAUUUGCUGGGUCACAGUGGUGUUGCAGUACAGAGAGCUGCACUGAUCUACAUCUUUACCCACACUUGGUAUUGUCAGACUUUCUCAUUUUUGCCAGUCGAAUGGGAAUAAAGUGGCAAUUCAUCACUGUCUGGACUUACCUCUCCCUGAUGACUAAUGAGGUCAGGCAACUCGUGUUUACCGGCCAUGUUUCCCUUCUGUGAAAUGCCCUGUGAAAUGCUCUUCUGGGCUCACUCAGCUCUACUCCUGCCUUUGCACUUGCUAUUCUCUCAGCCUGAAACAACUUCCCCCUUCACUGCCCGGUGUCAGUUCUUCCAGGAAGCCCUCCACGACUGCUGCUCAGGCUGUGAGCCUCUUCAGCCUCACUGGCAGGAAAACUUGGUGUCACUGUCCCUUCAUUUCAUCUCCUGGAGGCUCUUCCUCACCAAAGAGAUCGCAAACCUUAUGGCUUGGCCCCCACAGAGUUUUGAUUUUUUUUUUUUUCAACUUAGUUCCAUGAUUUAAAAUUUGGAAAAUUUUGUAUUUUAAAAAAUCUGAAAAAUUUUGUAUUUUAAAAAAUCGGAAUUGCUGAUUUAUCUUCAAAAAAACAAGAUGUAACCCCACUGGGCCUCUUUUUCUACAUGGCAACAAUCAGCUGGUGCUGAGUAGGGGCUGCCCCUGCCAGACCAUGUGUCACAGUCCCCACACCUCCAUGCUCACCGCCUGCUUAAUGACCUGCCUGGGCUCUGUGAGCAUUUAAGUUUGUGACGCUUGCCUAAGCACACCAGUUGUUUAUUCCUCUAAAUCUCUCCCAUCCUUUUCCUUCUCCCCGUAACUCUGUCUCUGUCCCCCCUCAGGCCUUCACACCUGUCCCCUGGACUGUCACACCAGCCUCCCCACGACCUUGCUUUUCUAGUCUUGCCCCUUCCAGUCCACUGACCAUGUCACAACCCCACUCAAGAACCAACAGUGGCUCCCCAUUGCCUUCCCAGGCAUCUCCUGACUUUCUAAAAAAAAAAAAAAAAAAAAAAAAGCAGGGACUUCCCUGGUGGUCCAGUGGUUAAGACUCUGCGCUCCCAAUGCAGGGGGCCUGGGUUUGAUCCCUGGUCAGGGAACUAGAUCCCAUAUGCUGCAACUAAGACCCAGUGCAGACAAAUAAAUAAAGAAUUAUUUUUAAUUUUAAAAAAAAGCAUUAUUACAUUAUGAAUAUUUCAUGUUCACAACAAAGUCUAGAGAACAGCAUAACAAACACCCAUGUACCCACCACCCAGCUUAAGAAAUAAACCAUUUCAAGUGUAAUUGAAGCCCCAUUACAUUCCCUUCCCUUUCUCCCUCUGGGUCACUACUCUCUUGAAUUUGCUCUUUAUUACUGCCAUGUGUGUUUUUAUGUAAUACACUUAUAUUACAUAUGCAUGUGUCCCUAAACAAUAUAUAGUAUUGUGGGUUUUCAAACUUUAUAUAUCUGGCAUCAAACUGUGUCUUCC
Molecule: RNA transcript, 3103 nt
Organism: Lagenorhynchus albirostris (white-beaked dolphin)
Lineage: Eukaryota; Metazoa; Chordata; Mammalia; Artiodactyla; Delphinidae
Gene: AAR2
Gene name: AAR2 splicing factor
Exons: 6
Source: RefSeq, a predicted model, not a curated record